RNAcentral lists this ribosomal RNA (484 nucleotides) under uncultured bacterium. Its description in RNAcentral is "partial 16S ribosomal RNA". It matches the Rfam family "Bacterial small subunit ribosomal RNA", at positions 29 to 507 of the family's 1533-position model. The record is from RNAcentral.
AUUGAACGCUGGCGGCAUGCUUUACACAUGCAAGUCGAACGGCAGCGCGGGCUUCGGCCUGGCGGUGAGUGGCGAACGGGUGAGUAAUACAUCGGAACGUGCCCAGUAGUGGGGGAUAGCUCGGCGAAAGCCGGAUUAAUACCGCAUACGACCUGAGGGGGAAAGCGGGGGAUCUUCGGACCUCGCGCUAUUGGAGCGGCCGAUGGCAGAUUAGCUAGUUGGUGGGGUAAAGGCCUACCAAGGCGACGAUCUGUAGCUGGUCUGAGAGGACGACCAGCCACACUGGGACUGAGACACGGCCCAGACUCCUACGGGAGGCAGCAGUGGGGAAUUUUGGACAAUGGGCGAAAGCCUGAUCCAGCAAUGCCGCGUGUGUGAUGAAGGCCUUCGGGUUGUAAAGCACUUUUGGCGGGAACGAAAAGCACUGUGCCAAUACCACGGUUCGAUGACGGUACCCGCAGAAUAAGCACCGGCUAACUACGUG